Long non-coding RNA from Catharus ustulatus (Swainson's thrush), 1430 nucleotides. RefSeq lists it as uncharacterized. NCBI's taxonomy places the organism in Eukaryota, Metazoa, Chordata, Aves, Passeriformes, Turdidae. The record is from RefSeq and is a predicted model, not a curated record. The transcript has 4 exons.
GAGAAGACAAGGGGGACACACCCAGGAAGAAAAAGGAGUGAGAAAAAAAAUUCCCCCAAAAAUGCCAACCUGCUGCUAAGAAAGACUCCAGGAAACUGAAAUGAGUGUGCAGUGGUGGGAUGUGUAAAUCUAAGUCUCCCUUCAGAAGGAGCAUCAGAAGCUUCAUUCCAAACUGAGAGGAGGAAUGUGGUGCUGCCAUCGCUGCUGGACAUGACUGCUGCACAACGUGCACCAAACUGGACACGACGACCUGAAAGGGACCCAGAACCGAGACUGACAACCUGGACCUGGCUGCCAUGGACAGCCCUGCCAGGAACCAGAACGUGCCUGCCAUGGACAACCCUGCCAGGAACCAGAACGUGCCUGCCAUGGACAGCCCUGCCAGGAACCAGAACGUGCCUGCCAUGGACAACCCUGCCAGGAACCAGAACCUGCCUGCCAUGGACAGCCCUGCCAGGAUCCUUUGCCAAGCACAGGAAAGUGGAGGAAGAUCACAAGGUGCAAUCCUAGGAUAUCAGCAUGGAUAUCCAGGAGAGUGGGCUGGAGGAUUCCUGCAACCCAUGCGUGCUGUGUGUUGUCUUCGUCCCCUCAGAUAAGUAACUAUUUUUGAGCAACUGCAAAUACAAGACUGGUGUAAAAAGGAGUGUCUUUAUAAACAGAAAAGGGUGGUUAGGUUAAAAAUAAGAAACAACAAACCUCUGGGUGUGGCUGCAACCUGGGCCUGAAGUUUUACAGUUUGCUUAGAAAAUUGUUCAUAACCCUUGCAUCUUUGCAUUUCUGGAUUAUAAAAUUGGAUUUUCCUGGCUGUUUUUUAAAAUUUGACUGUUUAUUGUUGGUUUGUCAGGAUUUAGGAUGUUUGGGGGAGGGUGGGCUGUGAGUUAGGCCAGGGUGUGCACAGUGUUCCUGUUGCCUUCUAACAGCUCCUUUUUCCCUCAUAAUUUUCCAGGCUGCAGGCGUCACUGCUCUCUCCGCCACUGAGCAAGGAAACCUGCUGCUGAAUUUCUCCAUGCUUGGGAAAAGUUUAAUGAUUACAAAGCAUUGGAUCUGCAGGGGAUGAGAAGAAUCGUUUCCCAGAGAUUUUCUGCCAAAUGAAGACAAGACGACAGAAGUUUGAACAAGAUUUCUGCUGAACAAACCAAGAGAAUGUGACCAGGAGCCGGCCUGACCUCAUAGACUGAACGAGACAGAAUUUAUAGUGACUCUGACUGGAACCCAAGUGCCUUUACUGGGUCUCCAGGAUGUAAAUAGUUCCAUGUUCUCUGUUUUUCUGGAUAGUUCCAUGUUCUCUGUGUUUUUGGAGCCUCAGAAACAGUUCUGUUUUGUUUAUUUUCUUACUGUUCAAUGCAAAGCACCUGCAUACUUUUGUGUUUGUUUUAAGUAAAGUUUUACGUUCUCUUCGUUACCUUAGGAAGACUUCGUGGUUUUUGAGG